CGUUCGGAUUGUAAACCUCUGUCACCGGGGAAGAAACGUUUGAGUUAACAGCUCAAAGCCUGACUUAACCCGGAGAGGAAGCAGUGGCUAACUCUGUGC
Molecule: ribosomal RNA, 99 nt
Filed under: uncultured bacterium
Lineage: Bacteria
Description: partial 16S ribosomal RNA
Source: RNAcentral